RNAcentral lists this small nuclear RNA (24 nucleotides) under Arabidopsis thaliana (thale cress). Its description in RNAcentral is "snRNA_09966". Lineage: Eukaryota; Viridiplantae; Streptophyta; Magnoliopsida; Brassicales; Brassicaceae. The record is from RNAcentral.
GUUUAGAAAGAACGGUUAGAGUUU